UACGGGAGGCAGCAGUGGGGAAUAUUGCACAAUGGGCGCAAGCCUGAUGCAGCCAUGCCGCGUGUAUGAAGAAGGCCUUCGGGUUGUAAAGUACUUUCAGUCGUGAGGAAGGUGUUAAGGUUAAUAACCUUAGCAAUUGACGUUAGCGACAGAAGAAGCACCGGCUAACUCCGUGCCAGCAGCCGCGGUAAUACGGAGGGUGCGAGCGUUAAUCGGAAUUACUGGGCGUAAAGGGCACGCAGGCGGUUAAUUAAGUUGGAUGUGAAAUCCCCGGGCUUAACCUGGGAAUGGCAUUCAAGACUGGUUAGCUAGAGUCUUGUAGAGGGGGUUAGAAUUCCAUGUGUAGCGGUGAAAUGCGUAGAGAUGUGGAGGAAUACCGGUGGCGAAGGCGGCCCCUGGACAAGACUGACGCUCAUGUGCGAAAGCGUGGGGAGCAAACGAGGAUUAGAUACC
This 453-nucleotide ribosomal RNA is filed under the name uncultured bacterium. RNAcentral's name for it is "bacterial SSU rRNA". It matches the Rfam family "Bacterial small subunit ribosomal RNA", at positions 340 to 786 of the family's 1533-position model. The record is from RNAcentral.